AUGAACGCUGGCGGCGUGCCUAAUACAUGCAAGUCGAGCGAACAGACGAGGAGCUUGCUCCUCUGACGUUAGCGGCGGACGGGUGAGUAACACGUGGAUAACCUACCUAUAAGACUGGGAUAACUUCGGGAAACCGGAGCUAAUACCGGAUAAUAUAUUGAACCGCAUGGUUCAAUAGUGAAAGACGGUUUCGCUGUCACUUAUAGAUGGAUCCGCGCCGCAUUAGCUAGUUGGUAAGGUAACGGCUUACCAAGGCAACGAUGCGUAGCCGACCUGAGAGGGUGAUCGGCCACACUGGAACUGAGACACGGUCCAGACUCCUACGGGAGGCAGCAGUAGGGAAUCUUCCGCAAUGGGCGAAAGCCUGACGGAGCAACGCCGCGUGAGUGAUGAAGGUCUUCGGAUCGUAAAACUCUGUUAUUAGGGAAGAACAAAUGUGUAAGUAACUAUGCACGUCUUGACGGUACCUAAUCAGAAAGCCACGGCUAACUACGUG
RNAcentral lists this ribosomal RNA (496 nucleotides) under uncultured bacterium. Its description in RNAcentral is "partial 16S ribosomal RNA". It matches the Rfam family "Bacterial small subunit ribosomal RNA", at positions 29 to 507 of the family's 1533-position model. The record is from RNAcentral.